RNAcentral lists this unclassified non-coding RNA (153 nucleotides) under uncultured Torula. RNAcentral's name for it is "sequence contains ITS2". Lineage: Eukaryota; Fungi; Ascomycota. The record is from RNAcentral.
CAACCUUCAAGCCUGGCUUGGUGUUGGGCGCUGUCCCGCCCCCGCGCGCGGACUCGCCCCAAAUGAAUUGGCAGUCGCACCCCCGACACGCGAGCGCAGCAAAGUCGCGCGAGCCGAACCGGCGGGAAGGACGCUCCACGAGACCCCCCACAG